RNAcentral lists this ribosomal RNA (327 nucleotides) under uncultured eukaryote. Its description in RNAcentral is "partial 18S ribosomal RNA". It matches the Rfam family "Eukaryotic small subunit ribosomal RNA", at positions 1470 to 1796 of the family's 1831-position model. The record is from RNAcentral.
CCCCUAGAUGUUCUGGGCCGCACGCGCGCUACACUGAUUCAUGCAACAAGUUUUGUCCUUGGCUGAUAGGCCUGGGUAAUCUUUGAACGUGAAUCGUGAUGGGGAUAGAUGAUUGCAAUUAUUCAUCUUCAACGAGGAAUUCCUAGUAAACGCAAGUCAUCAGCUUGCAUUGAUUACGUCCCUGCCCUUUGUACACACCGCCCGUCGCACCUACCGAUUGAAUGGUCCGGUGAAAUCUUCGGAUCUGAGAGAUGUCUGAUUAAUUUCGGACGCCUUUUGGAAAAGUUGCUUAAACCUUACCAUUUAGAGGAAGGUGAAGUCGUAACA